AGUCGAGGGGUAACAGGGAUUAGCUUGCUAAUUAGCUGAAGACCGGCGCACGGGUGCGUAACGCGUAUACAAUCUGCCUUAUACUGGGGUAUAGCCUUUAGAAAUGAAGAUUAAUCCCCCAUAGUCUCUUGAGAUGGCAUCAUUUUAGGAGUAAAGGUUACGGUAUAAGAUGAGUAUGCGUUCUAUUAGCUAGUAGGUAAGGUAACGGCUUACCUAGGCAACGAUAGAUAGGGGCCCUGAGAGGGGGAUCCCCCACAUUGGUACUGAGACACGGACCAGACUCCUACGGGAGGCAGCAGUGAGGAAUAUUGGACAAUGGAGGCAACUCUGAUCCAGCCAUGCCGCGUGCAGGAAGACUGCCCUAUGGGUUGUAAACUGCUUUUAUAUAGGAAGAAACCUUGGUACGUGUACCAAGCUGACGGUACUAUAAGAAUAAGGAUCGGCUAACUCCGUGCCAGCAGCCGCGGUAAUACGGAGGAUCCAAAGCGUUAUCCGGAAUCAUUGGGUUUAAAGGGUCCGUAGGUGGAUAAUUAAGUCAGAGGUGAAAUCUUGCAGCUCAACUGUAAAAUUGCCUUUGAUACUGGUUAUCUUGAGUUAUUAUGAA
Molecule: ribosomal RNA, 604 nt
Filed under: uncultured Flavobacteriaceae bacterium
Lineage: Bacteria; Pseudomonadati; Bacteroidota; Flavobacteriia; Flavobacteriales; Flavobacteriaceae
Description: bacterial SSU rRNA
Rfam family: Bacterial small subunit ribosomal RNA
Source: RNAcentral